UAACACGUAAACAACCUGCCUUCAGGAUGGGGACAACAGACGGAAACGACUGCUAAUACCGAAUAAGUUCCAAGAGCCGCAUGGCCCAUGGAAGAAAAGGUGGCCUCUACCUGUAAGCUAUCGCCUGAAGAGGGGUUUGCGUCUGAUUAGCUGGUUGGAGGGGUAACGGCCCACCAAGGCGACGAUCAGUAGCCGGUCUGAGAGGAUGAACGGCCACACUGGAACUGAGACACGGUCCAGACUCCUACGGGAGGCAGCAUG
Molecule: ribosomal RNA, 261 nt
Filed under: uncultured bacterium
Lineage: Bacteria
Description: partial 16S ribosomal RNA
Rfam family: Bacterial small subunit ribosomal RNA
Source: RNAcentral